Molecule: ribosomal RNA, 253 nt
Filed under: uncultured bacterium
Lineage: Bacteria
Description: partial 16S ribosomal RNA
Rfam family: Bacterial small subunit ribosomal RNA
Source: RNAcentral
UACAGAGGUCUCAACCGUUGUUCGGAUUCAUUGGGCGUAAAGGGUGCGUAGGCGGUCGUGCAAGUCGGAUGUGAAAUCUCAGGGCUCAACCCUGAAACUGCAUUCGAUACUGCGCGGCCAGAGUGCUGGAGGGGAGACUGGAAUUUACGGUGUAGCAGUGAAAUGCGUAGAUAUCGUAAGGAAGACCAGUGGCGAAGGCGAGUCUCUGGACAGCAACUGACGCUGAGGCACGAAGGCCAGGGGAGCAAACGGG